Betta splendens (Siamese fighting fish) is the source of this 2736-nucleotide long non-coding RNA. The record is from Ensembl. Lineage: Eukaryota; Metazoa; Chordata; Actinopteri; Anabantiformes; Osphronemidae.
AUGACCCCGGACCGUUGUGACCUGAGUUUUGGAUUAAAUAUCAGUUUGACCGCAUCUCCUUGUCUAUCGUCUCAUCGCUGUGCAUGUGGGUCCGUUCAUUGCCGCUCGCUGACAGAACGAUCUGGCCAGACUUGGACCCAGCCAGCGCCAACCUGCACCCAGGUCGGUUACGAGUUUCGUUCCCGUAUUUUCCUUUUUUUCCGUUUGUUUGGCUCCGUGCGCAAGUCACUCGCCGGAGCAAUGGAGUUUUACUGCCCGAGUCUGCCGGUGGAUAUUCGCGGAGACCUAGAGAGGUUCGCUAAGGCAUACGCGGAAGCGCACAGCCUUGAGGACCGUCUCCGCCACGUAAAGCAGGGCAUCGAAUUGCUGACGGCUGAGUUUUGGUGGCGUGCGUAUCCCGGAGUGCAGACGUACUACGAGAGACUUCAUUCGCUGCAGAGGGAAUUGGCGUGCGAGCUGCAUGCAUCGUCCGCCCGUGUCUCCGCAGCUGCUCCUACCGCUGUUUCAUCGCUUUAUGUUCCCGUUCCUGUUCCUGUCGCCGCUCCGGCGGCUCCAGCCCAAGUUCCAGUCGCCGUGGCCUCGUUUCACCAUGCGGACCCCGUUACAGAGGUCCGGUCCACACCGCUCCCAGCGCCUCAAACGACGGACAGUCGCAGCUGCUCCGGACGGCGACGGCGGAGGCGCGGUUCCAGGAUUCCGGGUCCCGCGGUCUCGGUCAUGGGGACCGAGCAGCCUCCUUCUCCGACAGAGGAGCCCCUUGAUUCUCCGACUGACUGUGUCCCUCUGAUAACAGGCAUCCCAGACAGCGUCGCCCGACGGGUCCACCUCCUCUGCUCUCCUCCAGUUGCGUUUCUCUUUGCCCAUCUCAUGAACACCGCCGAUUCGGCAGCAGACCAGGGCACGAGAGAACAAUUGUUCGAGGAAGCAGCCGCUCUCGUCCUGAGGGAACCUGUCCUGCGUGAGGUCCUGCAACUCCCGGUCCUGCAGCCAGCAGCCGCUUCAUGUCCCACCUCUCAGUCAGGUCAGUCGAGCCCUGUUCAGUCUCCAGUCCAGCCGAGCCCUGUUCAGUCUCCAGUCCAGCCGAGCCCUGUUCAUUCUCCAGUCCAGCCGAGCCCUGUUCAGUCUCCAGUCCAGCCGAGCCCUGUUCAGUCUCCAGUCCAGCCGAGCCCUGUUCAGUCUCCAGUCCAGCCGAGCCCUGUUCAGUUUCCAGUCCAGCCGAGCCCUGUUCAGUCUCCAGUCCAGCCGAGCCCUGUUCAGUCUCCAGUCCAGCCGAGCCCAGUCCAGGUCUCAGUCCAGCCGAGCCCAGUCCAGGUCUCAGUCCAGCCGAGCCCAGUCCAGGUCUCAGUCCAGCCGAGCCCAGUCCAGGUCUCAGUCCAGUCGAGCCCAGUCCAGGUCUCAGUCCAGUUCAGGUUCCAGUCCAGUCGAGCCCAGUCCAGUCGAGCCCAGUUCAGGUUCCAGUCCAGUCGAGCCCAGUCCAGUCACGCGCAGGUCUUAUCCCAGUCAGAGGACUCCACCUGUCGAACGGGUGCUGUGCACACCCGAUCAGGCCCGACGUCUCCUCCGUCGAGCUCGGCAGCUGUAAGCAGUCAUGCCGGCUCCGGAGGGGACGCCGUCCCAGUUCCUGUCGGCCAUGUUGCGGCCGUUCCUGUCGGCCAUGUUGCGGCCGUUCCUGUCGGCCAUGUUGCGGCCGUUCCUGUCGGCCAUGUUGCGGCCGUUCCUGUCGGCCAUGUUGCGGCCGUUCCUGUCGGCCAUGUUGCGGCCGUUCCUGUCGGCCAUGUUGCGGCCGUUCCUGUCGGCCAUGUUGCGGCCGUUCCUGUCGGCCAUGUUGCGGCCGUUCCUGUCGGCCAUGUUGCGGCCGUUCCUGUCGGCCAUGUUGCGGCCGUUCCUGUCGGCCAUGUUGCGGCCGUUCCUGUCGGCCAUGUUGCGGCCGUUCCUGUCGGCCAUGUCGCGGCCGUUCCUGUCGGCCAUGUCGCGGCCGUUCCAGUUCCUGUCCCUGUCGGCCAUGUCGCGGCCGUUCCAGUUCCUGUCCCUGUCGGCCAUGUCGCGGCCGUUCCAGUUCCUGUCCCUGUCGGCCAUGUCGAGGCCGUUCCAGUUCCUGUCCCUGUCAGUCUCGGGGUGGCAGUCCCCGCGCACCUCCAGGAGGGGGUCGCGCCCGCCGCAGUCCCGGCGGACCUCCAGGAGGGGGUCGCGCCCGCCGCAGUCCCGGCGGACCUCCAGGAGGGGGUCGCGCCCGCCGCAGUCCCGGCGGACCUCCAGGAGGGGGUCGCACCUGCAUCGGUUCCUGGCGGCUCGGCCGCACCUGCAUCGGUUCCUGGCGGCUCGGCCGCACCUGCAUCGGUUCCUGGCGGCUCGGCCGCACCUGCAUCGGUUCCUGGCGGCUCGGCCGCACCUGCAUCGGUUCCUGGCGGCUCGGCCGCACCUGCAUCGGUUCCUGGCGGCUCGGCCGCACCUGCAUCGGUUCCUGGCGGCUCGGCCGCACCUGCAUCGGUUCCUGGCGGCUCGGCCGCACCUGCAUCGGUUCCUGGCGGCCCGGCGCUGACCGCGUUGCCACGUCUGUUCUCGCUUCGGCAGCUGGACUGGUGGCCUCGCCCUCGGUGCUUCCGGCCGUUUGGGUGGCGCUGCCUCCUGCGGCGACGUCCACCUCGACCCCUCGGUCUCCAGGUUCGGGGGGGUCCCCGUGGACGCUGGCCCAGCCCAAGGGCGCUGGGGGUGCCCUCCUGCCUCAGCGGCGGUUGA